Molecule: ribosomal RNA, 1238 nt
Filed under: freshwater metagenome
Description: bacterial LSU rRNA
Rfam family: Bacterial large subunit ribosomal RNA
Source: RNAcentral
AAUACCGUGCGCGAAGCGCUGGGAGUAAGACUACGAGGGAUAAUCUUCGUGGUCAAAAGGGAAACGACCCGGACCAUCGGCUAAGGUCCCUGAGUCAUGCUCAGUUGAAAAGGUAGUCAGAAUGCAGUGACAGCCAGGAUGUUGGCUUAGAAGCAGCCACCAUUUAAAAAGUGCGUAACAGCUUACUGGUCGAGGAUUCUGGCGCCGAUAAUUAUCGGGGAUAAGCAUGACACCGAAGCCGUGGGACUCGUAUGAGUCGGUAGGAGAGCGUUGCUGUCAGCGUCGAAGUUUUCCCGUAAGGGUUGAUGGAGCGGCAGCAAGUGAAUAUGCCAGAUUGAGUAACGAUUAAUGCAGUGAGAAUCUGCAUCCCCGUAUGCCCAAGGUUUCCUGGGGAAGGUAAUUCCGCCCAGGGUUAGUCGGAGCCUAAGGCAAGGCCGAAAGGCGUAGUCGAUGGACAGCUGGUUAAUAUUCCAGCACCCUCGUGUAGGUUGAUGGCAGGUGACGGAUUUCCAUAUCUCAACGGGACAGUGAAGCGUCCAGGCCGUAUGGCCGGUGUUGGGUGAGGAAGUCUCAAGAAAAGCCCUGCCGGACGUUUACGAGGUCCGUACCAAAACUGACACAGGUGGGCGUGGCGAAUAGCCUCAGGGGCUCGAGAAAACGGUCCUGAAGGAACUAGGCAAUUUGACCCCGUAAGUUCGCGAUAAGGGGGCCCUACUCGCAAGAGAGGGCGCAGAGAAAAGGCUCUGGGAACUGUUUAUCAAAAACACAGCACUGUGCUAACUCGCAAGAGGAUGUAUACAGUGUGACGCUUGCCCGGUGCCGGAACGUCAAGGGAGCUGGUUAGCGCAAGCGAAGCUAGCGACCGAAGCGCCGGUAAACGGCGGCCGUAACUCUGACGGUCCUAAGGUAGCGAAAUUCCUUGUCGGGUAAGUUCCGACGCGCAUCAAUGGCGUAAUCACUGGAGCACUGUCUCCACGACCGACUCGGUGAAAUAGUAGUGGCGGUGAAGAUGCCGCCUACCCGCAGCAAGACGGAAAGACCCCGUGCACCUUUACUGUACGCUUGCAGUGGUCAUGGAUUUGUUCUGCGUAGCAUAGGUGGGAGCCUUUGAAGCCGAACUCUCGGGUUCGGUGGAGGCACUAGUGAAAUACCACUCUGAAUGAAUUCGUGGCCUAACCCUGAAUCCCGUGAAGCCGGGCAGGGAACACUGCAUACCGGGCGUAUCGUGACUGGGAAAC